CCUACGGGCGGCUGCAGUGGGGAAUAUUGCACAAUGGGCGCAAGCCUGAUGCAGCCAUGCCGCGUGUGUGAAGAAGGCCUUCGGGUUGUAAAGCACUUUCAGCGGGGAGGAAGGCGGUGAGGUUAAUAACCUCAUCGAUUGACGUUACCCGCAGAAGAAGCACCGGCUAACUCCGUGCCAGCAGCCGCGGUAAUACGGAGGGUGCAAGCGUUAAUCGGAAUUACUGGGCGUAAAGCGCACGCAGGCGGUCUGUCAAGUCGGAUGUGAAAUCCCCGGGCUCAACCUGGGAACUGCAUUCGAAACUGGCAGGCUAGAGUCUUGUAGAGGGGGGUAGAAUUCCAGGUGUAGCGGUGAAAUGCGUAGAGAUCUGGAGGAAUACCGGUGGCGAAGGCGGCCCCCUGGACAAAGACUGACGCUCAGGUGCGAAAGCGUGGGGAGCAAACAGGAUAAGAUACCCUAGUAGUC
RNAcentral lists this ribosomal RNA (465 nucleotides) under uncultured Klebsiella sp. RNAcentral describes it as "bacterial SSU rRNA". It matches the Rfam family "Bacterial small subunit ribosomal RNA", at positions 338 to 795 of the family's 1533-position model. The record is from RNAcentral. Lineage: Bacteria; Pseudomonadati; Pseudomonadota; Gammaproteobacteria; Enterobacterales; Enterobacteriaceae.